Molecule: ribosomal RNA, 301 nt
Filed under: uncultured bacterium
Lineage: Bacteria
Description: partial 16S ribosomal RNA
Rfam family: Bacterial small subunit ribosomal RNA
Source: RNAcentral
CAGUCGCCACGGGAAUACGGAGGGGGCUAGCGUUGUUCGGAAUUACUGGGCGUAAAGCGUACGUAGGCGGUUUUGUAAGUUAGAGGUGAAAGCCCGGAGCUCAACUCCGGAAUUGCCUUUAAGACUGCAUCACUUGAAUCGUGGAGAGGUGAGUGGAAUUCCGAGUGUAGAGGUGAAAUUCGUAGAUAUUCGGAAGAACACCAGUGGCGAAGGCGGCUCACUGGACACGUAUUGACGCUGAGGUACGAAAGCGUGGGGAGCAAACAGGAUUAGAUACCCCCGUAGUCCCUGUCUCUUAUAC